UACGUAGGGGGCUAGCGUUGUCCGGAAUCAUUGGGCGUAAAGAGCGUGUAGGCGGCCCGGUAAGUCCGCUGUGAAAGUCGGGGGCUCAACCCUCGAAUGCCGGUGGAUACUGUCGGGCUAGAGUGCGGAAGAGGCGAGCGGAAUUCCUGGUGUAGCGGUGAAAUGCGCAGAUAUCAGGAGGAACACCAAUUGCGAAGGCAGCUCGCUGGGACGUAACUGACGCUGAGACGCGAAAGCGUGGGGAGCAAACAGG
Molecule: ribosomal RNA, 253 nt
Filed under: uncultured bacterium
Lineage: Bacteria
Description: partial 16S ribosomal RNA
Rfam family: Bacterial small subunit ribosomal RNA
Source: RNAcentral